This is a long non-coding RNA of Mus musculus (house mouse), 1094 nucleotides long. RefSeq annotates it as RIKEN cDNA 4931428L18 gene. Lineage: Eukaryota; Metazoa; Chordata; Mammalia; Rodentia; Muridae. The transcript is spliced from 3 exons. The record is from RefSeq and is marked predicted.
AUGGCUGCCAUUUCUAGUUAAGUAGAUCGACCUGGGUUAGGCUGUGGGAUCCAUCAUGCUAGCUCCUGAGAGUUCACAGCUUCUCUGCGGUAGUCCGGGUCCUCCCGCUUCUCUCAGACUGCCUCUCCCCACCUCUGCCUUUACUUUGAAGACCAGAUACCCAGCUGGCUCAGCCACAGAGUUCAUACUUCUUCAUGGCAACAAAGUAGCGGAUGAAAGUCUCUCCCAGAGCCUGCUUCAGACACUCAUCUUGCUCCAGGGCGGCAAGGGCAUCUUCCAUCUUCAAAGGGAUCUCGGAAGGUUCUGGUUGAUAGAGAUCCUGACUCUCAUCGGAACCAGCCGCAGCACCAUCACUGCUCUGAAGACCAUCCAAGCCUGCUGCCACAGUGGCCGCCAACACCAGGUAGAGAGAACAAUAUGAGAGUGCAUAAGAGACCCAGCAACCAACCAGACAGAAUGAAGGUGGACAGAUACCCUCUGCAUGUGGAGAAGGAUAAUCUUCACCAAGAGCCAGUUCCUAUCUGGCUUCAUCCAUUUCAUCCCCCCAUCUCUCCUAACCUAGCUUUGAGAAUGCUGAUCAUUCCAUUUUUUUAAAUUGUUUUUAUUUUAUGUGUAUGGGUAUUGUGCUUGCCUGUAUGUCUAUACAAUACUAUGAUGGUGCCUGGUGCCAAGAAAGGCCAUCAGAUCUUCUGGAACUGGAGUUACAAACAGCUAUAAGCUGUCAUGUGGAUGCUGGUAUUCAAACCCUGUAAAAUGUAACUUUGAUUCCCCUGACAUAAUUGUUUCUAGUGUCCAUACAAACUAAUCUAGGCCUAGAGUGUUUUCAUCCUCUGAGACUUACUGCUGAAUAAGCCAACCCUUUCUAGCUCUUUCUGAAUUCUGGCUGGCUGGUUCAACUCAGCUGUUCUGGCUCAAACUCCUCUCCAAGCUGAGAGUGGGCUUCAGCUAAGGACCUAGAAGACAUAGGCAGCCUGAUGAAUGUUGAGUGUGCAUUGAUGUUCCUGGUAAAGGUAUGUUAAUGGGAACUCUGAAAGCCAUAUUUAAGGAAUCUUCUCUUUCCUAGGGGUCAUGGAGUACCAAUAAAAGAUUUUGAG